GCUUAACGCGAAGAACCUUACCACCUUUUGACAUGCCUGGACCGCCACAGAGAUGUGGCUUUCCCUUCGGGGACUGGGACACAGGUGCUGCAUGGCUGUCGUCAGCUCGUGUCGCGAGAUGUUGGGUUAAGUCCCGCAACGAGCGCAACCCUCGCCAUUAGUUGCCAUCAUUCAGUUGGGAACUCUAAUGGGACUGCCGGUGCUAAGCCGGAGGAAGGUGGGAAUGACGUCAAGUCCUCAUGGCCCUUACAGGGUGGGCUACACACGUGCUACAAUGGCGACUACAGAGGGUUAAUCCUUAAAAGUCGUCUCAGUUCGGAUUGUCCUCUGCAACUCGAGGGCAUGAAGUUGGAAUCGCUAGUAAUCGCGGAUCAGCAUGCCGCGGUGAAUACGUUCCCGGGUCUUGUACACACCG
Molecule: ribosomal RNA, 415 nt
Filed under: uncultured bacterium
Lineage: Bacteria
Description: bacterial SSU rRNA
Rfam family: Bacterial small subunit ribosomal RNA
Source: RNAcentral